AAGCUCUGCCGAGGGCCCUCCGCUCUGAGUGAUUUUUUUUUUUUUUUUUUGAUGAUUUUGGGGGGUUUUCUGUGCGAUCCCAUAGUCGCACUGCGCCAGGACAGGUUAUUUCUUCCCUCCCACUAGAUGGAUGAGAUCAGGCAUC
RNAcentral lists this long non-coding RNA (145 nucleotides) under Meriones unguiculatus (Mongolian gerbil). RNAcentral describes it as "Deleted in lymphocytic leukemia 2 conserved region 6 (ENSMUGG00000001459.1)". It matches the Rfam family "Deleted in lymphocytic leukemia 2 conserved region 6". The record is from RNAcentral. Lineage: Eukaryota; Metazoa; Chordata; Mammalia; Rodentia; Muridae.